GCUCCUGUAGUGAAAUGGAUAUCAUAACUGCCUUCGAAGCAGUCGUUGGGGGUUCGAAUCCCUCCGGGAGCA
This 72-nucleotide transfer RNA is filed under the name Minisyncoccota bacterium. Its description in RNAcentral is "tRNA-Arg". It matches the Rfam family "tRNA". Rfam says of the family: Transfer RNA (tRNA) molecules are approximately 80 nucleotides in length. The record is from RNAcentral. Lineage: Bacteria; Bacillati; Minisyncoccota.